UCCGGCUUAACGCCGGCAGUCCCCCUAGAGUGCCCAACUAAAUGCUGGCAACAUGCGACGGGGGUUGCGCUCGUUGCGGGACUUAACCCAACAUCUCACGACACGAGCUGACGACAGCCAUGCACCACCUGUGAUAGUGCCCCGAAGGGAAGCCGUGUUUCCACGGCGGUCACUAACAUGUCAAGCCCAGGUAAGGUUCUUCGCGUCGCGUCGAAUUAAACCACAUGCUCCGCUGCUUGUGCGGGCCCCCGUCAAUUCCUUUGAGUUUCAGCCUUGCGGCCGUACUCCCCAGGCGGGGCACUUACUGCGUUAGCGACGGCACUCAGAGGGUCGCUCCCCCAAGCACCUAGUGCCCAUCGUUUACGGCGUGGACUAC
RNAcentral lists this unclassified non-coding RNA (376 nucleotides) under uncultured Thermoleophilia bacterium. RNAcentral describes it as "contains 16S-23S intergenic spacer region". The record is from RNAcentral. Lineage: Bacteria; Bacillati; Actinomycetota; Thermoleophilia.